CGUACCGCACCCUGCCGUAAUACAGCUCCACAGCUUCCGGUUCCAAGAUGGCAACGUUCUACACCCGGUGUUUAUAGGAGCUGCCGACAAUAAAUAUCACAGAUGUGCAUCGUUUAUGUCGGGAAACAAAAACUCUGACAAGCAAAUUGGAGAAGGGGUUUAGGCUGUAUGCUGCGACCUACAUUCACAGCUACGAAGAUCAAGCUUUGUGAUUCAUCUCCAGUGAUGCUAAGUCACCACCGCUGCUCCUGUGUGGCUGGCACUGUUCUGUGCAGCCAUUUAGUAGCAUUAUUGUUUCAGACAGCACACUAUUCAUCGUUAAAGCUUCCUGUCGUGCCCCCUGUGCAUAGCUGUACGGAGUCGGAGCAGCAAUGGCACAAGCCGUGAACAAUGGGAGUAAAGCCUGGACCAGUAAAUACCAUGGUUUUUACCAAACCUGUCCCAAAUCGGAUGGUCCAGACUGGAGUUAGGUAAUUUGCUUUGUUAAAUGUAGUUCCCUGUGUUGCAAAUACAUGUUGCAACUUGUUAAUUUCUUUGUAGGAGUGGAUUCUACAGAGGCAUGGUUGGAUAAUUGCCAGAUCCCUGCCUACUUCGCGUAGAGGAGGCCUAUGCGAAAUUUAACCUGGAGGACAAACCUCUUGUUUCACAAUGAACAUGGGACCUGGCAAGCCCAUGGUAGAAACAGCCUUUGGGUUAGUGCAGAAGGGUAGCAUGUUGUCAUAUCAGCAGCCUCCUGUGAAAUCCCGCUUUAUCACACCCCACCACAAUACACCACCAAAACCCUGUCUGCCUCUGGAGGGUUAUGACAUCUUACCGUCCCAAUGUCCAUUUGUGUGCUCAGAAGAAGAGCUGCUAAACCUGCAAAGUCAUUCUGUCACCAUGGCAAUGGCCCACAAAAUUGAGGAGGCUACACGUGAGCAAAGCUCCUGCUCCGAGUGGCACCUGCUCCGCCGACCCAGAGUGACCAUCUCUAGGUUUCGUGAGGUGUGCCAUGUCAGAGACCAGAGCUCUGCAGAGGCAUUAGCAGAGCGCAUAAUUAAGGGCACACGGCAGACAGCAGACAUGAGGAGAGGUGCUGAGAUGGAGCCUGCAGUAGCAGCUGAGUACAGUCAGCUGAUGAACGUCAACUACUCACCCUGCGGUCUUGUCGUUCACCCGUCUACCCCCUGGCUUGCUUCCUCCCCGGAUGGAAUUGUUUUUGACCCCAACGAAUACCCUCAAUUUGGCCUUGUUGAAUUUAAAUGCCCCAAUGUCCACAACUUUGUGGACUGCAAAUAUUUUAAAAUGGAGGGUGGUUCGCCACAACUUAAAAAGAGCCACUCUUAUUAUUGGCAAGUCCAAGUCCAGCUGCUCAUAACUGGAAUGCAGUGGUGCGACUUUGUUGUGUGGGCGCAGGAAGACUACGUAGUGCAGAGAAUCUAUGUUGAGCCAGAAGUGCAGAGCGCAAUUCGAGAAAAGGCAGACCAUUUCUUUUUCUACUAUUACAUGCCUAGCUACCUGCGUCUUAAGAAAAUGUAAAAAACAUUACCCAAGAUUAGCUAAAAUCCGUUAACUCACAAGCAGUCUCAUCUCACCUUCACCAGCAGUCUUACCUCACGUUGGCCAGCAACUCACCUUCAACCAAACCACCAGAAGUGCCGUUUCUCCCUGGAAAUGUCAAUGAGACCAUAUAAUCACCAUAAAUAUAUUUUCUCAGCAAUUGCAUUAUUAUUUCUUUUUGUAAAAUGGGAAAUCAAAUGCAUAUGAAAAUUCAAACAUUAACUGCACGUAAAGUGUUCUGAAAAUUUAAACAGUCAAUCUUUACUUACUUCCUAGCAGACAGAUCUACUGCAUUUCAUGAAAGGCAAUAAUAUUGUUAGGUAGAACUUUAUUUAAUCACUUAACCCAUUUUUUGACGAGUGCCUUGUUUUGGUAAUUUGACAGCAGACAGGCACCUACAAAUAUCUCAUUGAUAUUGUACGCAUGUGACAGGGUGAUGGUGCCAUCAAAAAGCUGGUUCUCCUUUAUCCUCCGAAUGACACGCUCUACGUGCAUCCGCAAUCUGGCUAUGGCCUGUGUCUCCUUCACCUGGCAUGCUGGCAUCUGUUUGUUUUUUGAGAGAAAGGGUGGGCAGUAAACUUUGCUUUUGCAGCAAUCACUGAUUACGAAGCCUUUAUCGACCAUAACUGCCAUGUUUUCUGUCAGCAACUCAGCGAUUCCUGAUUGUUUGAACAUUUCCUUGUCGCUAACUGAACCACCAUACAAUCCGGAAAUGAAUGUCACUGCACCAUGUGGGGCUAUGCCAACCAGGCCUUUCAUGGUGCAGUGGGAUUUGUACGUAGAGUACAUCUCACUUUGAAGGAGGGGUGAGGAUGGGGUUUGGCAUCUAAGCUCAGUGCAAUCUAGAAUUACCUGGGUGUCCGGGUAAUCCCGGAAUUCCUCCGGGAGGUAAGCCUGUACCUCUGCAGGUGUGAGCCAAAUACAAAUAGACCCUAGUGCUGUGGCCAGAAAACAAGUCCAUGUGGCAAUGAUGCGGCUCACUGUGGACUGGUGAAUUUUAAAGCGAUUUACCAGGUCUCUCUCCUUCAAUCCAGCCGAAAGAUAGUUCAGAAAAAGAAAGAGUUCAUCUAUGGGCUGGAGCAGCUGUCUCUGAGAGGAAAAUAAAAAAAGGAUAGCUCAAACAAAUACAAAUGCAAUGA
Gadus macrocephalus (Pacific cod) is the source of this 2678-nucleotide long non-coding RNA. RefSeq lists it as uncharacterized. The transcript is spliced from 3 exons. The record is from RefSeq and is a predicted model, not a curated record. NCBI's taxonomy places the organism in Eukaryota, Metazoa, Chordata, Actinopteri, Gadiformes, Gadidae.